Molecule: transfer RNA, 72 nt
Filed under: Camelus bactrianus (Bactrian camel)
Lineage: Eukaryota; Metazoa; Chordata; Mammalia; Artiodactyla; Camelidae
Also listed under: 2 other names
Rfam family: tRNA
About the family: Transfer RNA (tRNA) molecules are approximately 80 nucleotides in length. Their secondary structure includes four short double-helical elements and three loops (D, anti-codon, and T loops). Further hydrogen bonds mediate the characteristic L-shaped molecular structure. tRNAs have two regions of fundamental functional importance: the anti-codon, which is responsible for specific mRNA codon recognition, and the 3' end, to which the tRNAs corresponding amino acid is attached (by aminoacyl-tRNA synthetases). tRNAs cope with the degeneracy of the genetic code in two manners: having more than one tRNA (with a specific anti-codon) for a particular amino acid; and 'wobble' base-pairing, i.e. permitting non-standard base-pairing at the 3rd anti-codon position.
Source: Rfam by way of RNAcentral
GUGGGUAUAGCUCAGUGGUAGAGUGUGUGCUUAGCAUGCGUGAGGUCCUGGGUUCAAUCCCCAGUAACUCCA